This 735-nucleotide long non-coding RNA is filed under the name Prunus persica (peach). RNAcentral's name for it is "long non-coding RNA (PPER_LNC005701)". Lineage: Eukaryota; Viridiplantae; Streptophyta; Magnoliopsida; Rosales; Rosaceae. The record is from RNAcentral.
UGGGUUCUCUAUGAUCUGCUGAACUUAUAAAAUAAAAUUGCAUCAUUAGGUUGAAAGUUUUUAAAACAUACAUAUACUUUUACGAAAAAGAAAAAGAAACCAUUUUUUUUCGAUAAUCUGCACUCUUCUCAUCUCCAACGAUAUGUGCAAUCAUAGCAAAUGUAAAACAAUGGCAUUGCCCAUUGUUCUUUCUUUCCCCGGAGCCGGUACCAAAAACCGUUUUCCUGACAAAAGUGACUGGCUCGAAUGGAAGCUCCAUAGCUCACAAGCUUUUUUUCUCAUUGAUGGUUCUAAUUUACAUUUAAACCUUUUUUUUUUUUUUUUUUUCUCAUCAUCCAUUAUUUAUUGGAAAGAGGAACAUAUAUGCUUUGACCUACUUGCCUUUCCAGUGUGAGACCAUGAGGUUAAGGCCCAACCAAUUAAAUUCGGGUCGCAGGCUAGACUGCGGACUAUUGAUCCAAUCCAAUAAUAGAUCAAGUUGGGCGGACCCACAAGCAAAAGAAUGGCCCACAACCCUACAGAUGGACCCACCUAUGGCCCAUGAUAAAAAUAAAUUUCCCUUUACUGUUGGGUUUUAAUUGGCUAUUAUAGGAAAUAUUAGAGUCAUGAUAGGAAUUCACACUAUUGGUAGCUCCCAUCUUUAAGUGCAAUCCUAACACUCUAAUAUAAGUCGGUGGAUAGAGCAACAGUCCAACUCAAAGACAGAAGCCUCUCCUAAACUUAGCUGUUUACUCC